CAUCAGCCCAUGUACUGAAGGGUCUUGGGUUCAAUUCUGGUCAAGGGCACAUAUGUAGGUUGCAGGCUGUAUCCCCUGCCCUGGUUAGGGUACAUAGGGGAGGC
Long non-coding RNA from Myotis brandtii (Brandt's bat), 104 nucleotides. RefSeq lists it as uncharacterized. Lineage: Eukaryota; Metazoa; Chordata; Mammalia; Chiroptera; Vespertilionidae. The record is from RefSeq and is a predicted model, not a curated record. The transcript is spliced from 3 exons.